ACCCUGAACCUCCCUCAGGUCACCUGAGACAGUAGUGCUGACUGUGCACUACACAACUUUUGGGGCAGCAUCCAGACCAUACCUCUGCCUUCUUGAUUGUCUUCCCUGCCUAUAUACACCUAAAGGAUCUUUCCGAGAUUAUGCACCUGGAACAAUGCCAACCACACCGAAAGAGCUCAAGAAAUUUUCACACGUUUACAAAAGGAUAUAUGUACAUGAAUGGCCAUAGCAACUUUACAACAGGUCAAAACUGGAAACCCAAAUAUUCAUCAACAGAUCACUGAAUAAACAAAGUGUGGCAUACUCACACAAUGGAAUUCUACUCAGCAAUAAAAAGGAAUAAAUCUCCAACAACGUGGAAGCAUCUCAAAGACAUUAUGCUGAGUAAAAGAAGGCAGAUGUAAAGGGAACAUGCUGUAUGAGUCUAUUAAUAUGAAAUUCUGGCAGAUACAGAAGUAAUCUAUUUUGUCUGAAAAACAAAUCAGUGGUUACCUGGAGCUGGGAUUGGCCGAGGAAACUGACUGCAAAGAGGAGCAAGGAAAUUUGGGGAUCGAUGGAAAUGUUCUCUGUCUCAACUGGGGCAAUAGUGACACAGUUCUGUCUGCCAAAACUCACCAACUUAAA
Molecule: long non-coding RNA, 624 nt
Organism: Suricata suricatta (meerkat)
Lineage: Eukaryota; Metazoa; Chordata; Mammalia; Carnivora; Herpestidae
Exons: 3
Source: RefSeq, a predicted model, not a curated record